GGGUCGUUAGCUCAGGGGUAGAGCAGUUGACUUUUAAUCAAUUGGUCGCAGGUUCGAAUCCUGCACGACCCACCA
This 75-nucleotide transfer RNA is filed under the name Escherichia coli 908555. RNAcentral describes it as "tRNA-Lys". It matches the Rfam family "tRNA". Rfam says of the family: Transfer RNA (tRNA) molecules are approximately 80 nucleotides in length. Their secondary structure includes four short double-helical elements and three loops (D, anti-codon, and T loops). Further hydrogen bonds mediate the characteristic L-shaped molecular structure. tRNAs have two regions of fundamental functional importance: the anti-codon, which is responsible for specific mRNA codon recognition, and the 3' end, to which the tRNAs corresponding amino acid is attached (by aminoacyl-tRNA synthetases). tRNAs cope with the degeneracy of the genetic code in two manners: having more than one tRNA (with a specific anti-codon) for a particular amino acid; and 'wobble' base-pairing, i.e. permitting non-standard base-pairing at the 3rd anti-codon position. The record is from RNAcentral. Lineage: Bacteria; Pseudomonadati; Pseudomonadota; Gammaproteobacteria; Enterobacterales; Enterobacteriaceae.